This 336-nucleotide unclassified non-coding RNA is filed under the name soil metagenome. RNAcentral's name for it is "partial contains 5.8S ribosomal RNA, internal transcribed spacer 2, and large subunit ribosomal RNA". The stretch from base 1 to 120 matches the Rfam family "5.8S ribosomal RNA", at positions 35 to 154 of the family's 154-position model. The record is from RNAcentral.
GAUGAAGAACGUAGCGAAAUGCGAUAAGUAAUGUGAAUUGCAGAAUUCCGUGAAUCAUCGAAUCUUUGAACGCACAUUGCGCCCCCUGGUAUUCCGGGGGGCAUGCCUGUCCGAGCGCCAUUGCAACCUUCAAGCGCGGCUUGUGUGUUGGGUCUCGUCCCCCGUGGACGGGCCCGAAAGGCAGUGGCGGCGUCCCGACAUGGUGCCCGAGCGUAUGGGAAUCCUCUUCCGCUCGAAUCGGCCCAUGCGGCGCUGGUCGUAACCAAAUUUUUUACCGGUUGACCUCGGAUCAGGUAGGGAUACCCGCUGAACUUAAGCAUAUCAAUAAGCGGAGGA